Molecule: long non-coding RNA, 1527 nt
Organism: Coregonus clupeaformis (lake whitefish)
Lineage: Eukaryota; Metazoa; Chordata; Actinopteri; Salmoniformes; Salmonidae
Exons: 2
Source: RefSeq, a predicted model, not a curated record
CAGAGAUUUGUAUAAACCUUGCCGUCUGUCUCUCCGAGCUUUCAAUAUUGAAUUGCGAUCUCCACCGUCCCAUAUAAAGUGGAUGUGUCCGAACGAGACCGAGAGCAAAUUGAGCUGGUUGUCAUAGCAACAUACAAAACUUUUUCCAGUUAACUGGCUAAAUCGAUACUUUGUUGCGAAAACAAAAAUGGAUGAGUGGACCAUUUAUUUUGAUAUUUUCGGCGGCAUGACUAUGGAUGAAUGGGAAAAAGAAAUGGCAAUAAUACCCGGGCAUGCAGAUUUGUGGGAUACUGCAUUGAAUGACCUAGAGAAAAGCCGCAACGAACAAACACAGCUAAGAAUACAAACUGGGCUGUGCGGUGUGGUGCUUCGAGGGCUGGCUAGCAGAGAAGAAAAAAGUUGUUGACUUCAAAAAACUGUCACUAAGGAAGAUUAACAUCCUUCUCAGACAGUUUUAUGGAAAUUUAUGAAAUGGGAAGGGGGAACAGUAUAGCAUAAGUAGCUACCUGGCACUCCGCAGUGGGCUCAACCGGUUUUUAAAUGACCCACCCAUCGGUCGCAGCUGGUGCCUUAUGAAGGACACUGAAUUUACCACCUCGAAUCAUGUAUUUCUGGGCAACAUCAAACAGGUAAGAAGGCAAGGAAAAUAUAUCACAAACAGCCACCCUCCCAUCACCGAUAAGGACAUGGACCAGCUCAAAAACUCCCAGGCUCUGAAUUCCGGUACACCAAGGGGCCUGGUCCAGAAAGUGUGGUUCGACCUCCAGUUACAUCUGGAUCGAAAAGGAAAAGAGGGGAACAGACAACUAAAGCCCAACUCAUUCCUCGUAAAAACUGACGAGAACGGUCUAAGAUAAGCCACUCUCGCAUAUAACGAGGCCACAAAUAAUCAUCUGGACCCAAGGGAGAGGGCCAGGGAGUCCAAGAGGGUAUUCAUGUUCGAGCAGCCAGGGAUCCCACUUUACCCGGUGGCAUCACUGGAGAAAUAUCUAUCGAAAUGCCCGGAGAAAACCUUGCAUUUUAUCUCCACCGAAGGAGAGGAGAGUAUGGGGGACUCGAUCUGGUACACGUCAGAGCCGAUGGGCGUGAACUAUCUGGCAGCACUUCUACCCAGGAUCUGCAGGGCAGCGGGUACAACUACAUACACAAAUCACAGCAUUAGGACCACGACAGUCCAGAAACUGGCCAAUGCUGGUUUAGAAGCGAGGGAAAUUGUCAGUGAGUGGGCAUCGGUGCGAAGGUUCGCUCCAUAACUACUGGCGUCCUUGGCGUCCCUCACUGACAGACAGAAAACGCUGGAGCAACAUCCUGGCCGAAAACAAAGGGAACACUGCAGCACCAAUCAACACCCAAAAGGCUGAAGCAAAGCAGCAGAAGUAGUAGCACAGACUCAGAUAUUUCAACCAAUGCACCAUCCAGGAGAAUGUACAGAUAAAUGUGACAUACAAAAGUAGCUAUAGCUAUGUCAUCUGUGGUGGAUAACAAAGAGAAUGUAUGGUUUCAUUUAUUAAAAUCAGCUCAAAUGAA